GCGCCUGUAGCUUAAUGGAUAGAGCACCUGACUACGGAUCAGGAGGUUGGGAGUUCGACUCUCUCCAGGCGCGCCA
Molecule: transfer RNA, 76 nt
Filed under: bacterium
Lineage: Bacteria
Also listed under: 1 other name
Description: tRNA-Arg
Rfam family: tRNA
About the family: Transfer RNA (tRNA) molecules are approximately 80 nucleotides in length. Their secondary structure includes four short double-helical elements and three loops (D, anti-codon, and T loops).
Source: RNAcentral